RNAcentral lists this ribosomal RNA (468 nucleotides) under uncultured bacterium. RNAcentral's name for it is "partial 16S ribosomal RNA". It matches the Rfam family "Bacterial small subunit ribosomal RNA", at positions 28 to 507 of the family's 1533-position model. The record is from RNAcentral.
GACGAACGCUGGCGGCGUGCUUAACACAUGCAAGUCGAACGGAAAGGCCCUGCUUUUGUGGGUUGCUCGAGUGGCGAACGGGUGAGUAACACGUGAGUAACCUGCCCUUGACUUUGGGAUAACUUCAGGAAACUGGGGCUAAUACCGGAUAGGAGCUCCUGCUGCAUGGUGUGGGUUGGAAAGUUUCGGCGGUUGGGGAUGGACUCGCGGCUUAUCAGCUUGUUGGUGGGGUAGUGGCUUACCAAGGCUUUGACGGGUAGCCGGCAUGAGAGGGUGACCGGCCACAUGGGGACUGAGAUACGGCCCAGACUCCUACGGGAGGCAGCAGUGGGGAAUAUUGCAGAAUGGGCGGAAGCCUGAUGCAGCAACGCCGCGUGCGGGAUGACGGCCUUCGGGUUGUAAACCGCUUUGGCCUGUGACGAAGAGUGAGUGACGGUAAUGGGUAAAGAAGCACCGGCUAACUACGUG